This is a non-coding RNA of Lonchura striata (white-rumped munia), 1540 nucleotides long. NCBI's taxonomy places the organism in Eukaryota, Metazoa, Chordata, Aves, Passeriformes, Estrildidae. The record is from RefSeq and is a predicted model, not a curated record.
CCAUUAGAUCAGAAUCUGUUUUAACUAUUUGGCCAAUACUGCUGUGAUAAACUACACUUUAAGACUUUAGAGUAGACAACAAGAGGGAGGGAAGAGGUUCAAAGGUUUUCCUGCCACAAUGAACUUAAAUGAGUUAGGGAAAUAAACCAAAUUUAUUUUUAAGGAAGAAGUAAUUUAAAAUCAGUUCUUAUUUCACAAGUUCUUACUUCACAGUCAAGGCUCAGCUAUCUCUACACAUCUACAUUACUCACACAGCUGUGCUCCAACCAGUACAUAUUUUUGUCAAUGAAAGCAAAAUCAGAGUUGUGCAUUAUACUGUUACCAAAUGAAGCGCAACAUCCAUGCUAAGUCAUUCUGCACAAUAUAUUCUAGAUGAAGAAAACCUACAGAUGAACUUUGUAUCACAUGGAUUGCAGUUGACUGUGUGGAAGACUCAGAGAACUGAUUUGAAAAUACAAAAGAAGAUACAUUUGCAUGAAAGCCAAAAAUAUGACAGCAGAGCCCACAUCUAAAACUCCUAAAACAAGUGAUGGUACAAAGGUUGCCUGUCAGCCAGUGGACUUUGGAAUUAAGCUGAGUGUUAUUUACCUAUGUAAAUACUAAUAUCUUUAAUAUUUGAUAAAAUCUGUUCAUACUUGCAUUUCUGUUCCUAUUCCUUUCUACUAAAAGUGCACUCAACUGUGACUCCAGAUGAAUACCCAUUUGUUGCCUAGUAAACACAUAUAGGAAGGUUUACAGCAACUAGAUGUAAUUUUCCGUACAGAAAAUUAAAUGGACAUUAAUUUCUUUGAGAAGCAAACAAAAAGAUCAAACUAAAAGGGAGAAGUCUGAUAUUUUUCCCAGCAUACUGUAAAGUAAUACUGCACUUCCCUUUAGCUACAAGUGUGUUGUGGCUGUUUCAAUAAGGUUCCAUUGUAGAGUCGAUUCACUAGUUUCUAAAAGAUUGAGAGUUAGUGCUUUUGAAAAAAAUAAGAAAUAUCUCUUUAGUUAUUUCAUAAAAAGGCCUGGGUUAGAAGGGAUCUUAAAGAUUUACCUUAAAGAUAUUUCUAACUCCCCUGCUAUGGACAAAGCUACCUUCCACUAAACCAAGUGGCUUAGACUUCUAUUGAACCUGGCCUUACACCCUUAGAGAGACGGGACACUCACAACUUCUGUGAGCACUCUGUUCCAGUGUCUCACCAGCCUCACAGCAAAAAAAAAAGUUUUAAAACCCUUCUUUUUUUCUGUUUUAUGCGUUCAUCUACACAUACUACUGUAUUUUUAAAUGCAAUUAACUGAUAGUUUUCAUCUUCUGCUUCAAUAAGAAUUCUGUAACUUGCUCAUAGGUCUUGAUCUAACAAAGCCUUUACAUUGCCUCACUCUUCAGUACUACAGAGUUCAGACACCACGAGAACUCAUAAUUAAAAAAAAAUACACACUACCAUCAUAGUAAACAAACCACUAACUUUAAUUCCAAAUAGCUAAUACUUUUCAAUUAGCCACCAGGAUUAAAAUUCCUAAGAAUUACAUCACGUAAAUAAACUGGGUCAUUUUCCUCAUG